AGUGGACGUAAAAGAUGCAUGAAAUUUGUUGGAAGAAAGAUUUCACAUGAGUGGUGUCCAGCUGAAGGGUCACAGAUAAGCCGAUGAUACACUGGAAUGGUUUUAGAUUGUAUCAAGGGAAAAGAUGGUGACAGGAAAGCUGUUUAUGAAGUUGCAUAUGAGGGGGAGGCAGCUUCCAGCACAGUAUCAAAUUUGCAGCAAGACUUGGACAAAGGUUCCCUGAAGUUUAUAGAUAUUUAGUCAGCCAGUCGCCUAUCCAGUCAGUCACCACUGCAG
Pecten maximus is the source of this 276-nucleotide long non-coding RNA. RefSeq lists it as uncharacterized. The transcript is spliced from 3 exons. Lineage: Eukaryota; Metazoa; Mollusca; Bivalvia; Pectinida; Pectinidae. The record is from RefSeq and is a predicted model, not a curated record.